Molecule: ribosomal RNA, 465 nt
Filed under: uncultured bacterium
Lineage: Bacteria
Description: partial 16S ribosomal RNA
Rfam family: Bacterial small subunit ribosomal RNA
Source: RNAcentral
GACGAACGCUGGCGGCGUGCUUAACACAUGCAAGUCGAACGGAAAGGCCCCUUUGGGGGUACUCGAGUGGCGAACGGGUGAGUAACACGUGAGUAACCUGCCCUUGACUUCGUUAUAACUUCAGGAAACUGGGGCUAAUACCGGAUAGGAAUCCUUGCUGCAUGGUGGGGGUUGGAAAGCUUCGGCGGUUUUGGAUGGACUCGCGGCUUAUCAGCGUGUUGGUGGGGUAGUGGCUUACCAAGGCUUUGACGGGUAGCCGGACUGGGAGGGCGACCGGCCACAUUGGGACUGAGAUACGGCCCAGGCUCCGAAGGGAGGAAGAAGUGGGGAAUAUUGAACAAUGGGCGGAAGCCUGAUGCAGAAAGGCCGCGGGCGGGAUGACGGCCUUCUGGUUGUAAAACGCUUUCAGCAGGGGCGAAGCUUGUGGUGACGGUACCUGCAGAAGAAGCACCGGCUAACUACGUG